UACUCGAGUGGCGAACGGGUGAGUAACACGUGGUGAUCUGCCCUGCACUCUGGGAUAAGCCUGGGAAACUGGGUCUAAUACCGGAUAGGACCAUGCUUUAGUGUGUGUGGUGGAAAGUUUUUUCGGCGUAGGAUGAGCCCGCGGCCUAUCAGCUUGUUGGUGGGGUAAUGGCCUACCAAGGCGGCGACGGGUAGCCGGACUGAGAGGUUGGUCGGCCACAUUGGGACUGAGAUACGGCCCAG
RNAcentral lists this ribosomal RNA (242 nucleotides) under uncultured Actinomycetales bacterium. RNAcentral's name for it is "partial 16S ribosomal RNA". It matches the Rfam family "Bacterial small subunit ribosomal RNA", at positions 88 to 334 of the family's 1533-position model. Lineage: Bacteria; Bacillati; Actinomycetota; Actinomycetes; Actinomycetales. The record is from RNAcentral.